RNAcentral lists this unclassified non-coding RNA (360 nucleotides) under Hevea brasiliensis (rubber tree). The record is from RNAcentral. Lineage: Eukaryota; Viridiplantae; Streptophyta; Magnoliopsida; Malpighiales; Euphorbiaceae.
AUAAAUCAUUUACAAGAAAAUAAUGCAGUUAAAUUUUCACUCAAUCAUACUUGAUUUUUCUAUUUCUCUUGAAAUGAAACUUUUUAAAAGUUAAAAAACAUUACUUCUCCCAUUCCAAACAUGAAAAUUGGCCAAAAGAAAAUCAAUUAAAUUGAAUUUUUGUAAAAUUCUAGUCCCCAGAUUGUGAAUUAAUUUGAAUAACACAUCUGGCACCUACCUCAAGAUAAGAACCCCGGUCGGAGCUGUUCCAGGGCAGUUCUCAGCAUAAAAUACCGCAUUGGACCUUCAAUGGAUUUCACCUCAGCAUUCAGAAUUUGCUUCAGUGAACACGCCAUUCGUUUCUCUCUAUCGUAGCAGCUA